CACAGACAUGAAAAGAUGUGAGACGCAGCAGAUCCUUCACCACCAAAUAAAAUGUUGCGGAGAGUUGAUAGUCCUGAAAACAAAUACAGUGACAGCACAGGUCACAGUAAGGCCAAAAAUGUGCAUACUCCCAGAGUUAGAGAGAGGGGUGGUGGGACCAAUUACUCUCCACAAGAAAAUUCACAUAACCACAGUGCUCUUCAUAGUUUAAAUUCACAUUCUUCUAAUCCAAGCAAUAAUCCAAGCAAAACUUCAGAUGCACCUUAUGAUUCUGCAGAUGACUGGUCAGAGCAUAUUAGCUCUCCUGGGAAAAAAUACUACUACAGUUGUUGAACAGAAGUUUCUCAGUGGGAAAAACCAAAAGAGUGGCUUAAAAGAGAACAGAAACAAAAAGAAGCAAACAAGAUGGCAGUUAAUAGCUUCCCAAAAGAUAGGGAUUACAGAAGAGAGGUGAUGCAAGCAACAGCGGCUAGUGGGUUUACCAGUGGAAAAUCUACAUCAGGAGACAAAUCCUUAUCACAUUCUUGCGCAACUUCUACAUCUUCUGCCUCUGGACUGAAUCCCACAUCUGCACCACCCACAUCUGCUUCAGCAGUUCCUGUUUCUCCUGCUCCAAAUCACCAAUACCUCUAUUACUCCAGGACCCAAAUCUUCUUAGACAAUUGCUUCCUGCUUUGGCAGCCACAUUAUAGCUUAAUAAUUCUAAUAUGGACAUAUCUAAAAUAAAUGAAGUUCUUACAGCCGCUGUGACACAAGCCUCACUGCAGUCUAUAAUUCAUAAGUUUCUUAGCGCGGGACCAUCUGCGUUCAAGAUAACAUCUCUGAUUUCUCCGAUUGUUCAGCUUUCUACACAAGCCCAGCUAUCUAAUCACUCUCCAAUGUCUUUAACAUCUGAUGCAUCAUCCCCAAGAUCCUACGUGUCUCCAAGAAUAAGCACACCUCAAACUAACACAGUCCCUAGCAAGCCUUUGAUUAGUACUCCUCCUGUUUCAUCACAGCCAAAGGUUACUACUCCAGUUGUUUAA
RNA transcript from Nycticebus coucang (slow loris), 1025 nucleotides. It is a transcript of the gene named WW domain-containing adapter protein with coiled-coil-like, with no coding region annotated. The record is from RefSeq and is a predicted model, not a curated record. The transcript has a single exon. Lineage: Eukaryota; Metazoa; Chordata; Mammalia; Primates; Lorisidae.